RNAcentral lists this long non-coding RNA (1672 nucleotides) under Homo sapiens (human). RNAcentral describes it as "HSALNT0323470". The record is from RNAcentral. Lineage: Eukaryota; Metazoa; Chordata; Mammalia; Primates; Hominidae.
CCUCAUCCUGCUCAGCGGGCUUGGGUCGUCCGGCCGCGGGGUCAGGGAAGACCAGAGGACCACUAGCCCCAGGAAGCUUCCCACCACCAGCAAACUGCGUGGUGAAUUUGUAACCGAAAGGCCCAGGUGAGAUGUGCAAAUAUCACUGGAUUGGAGGAGCUCACUUGGAAAGCCAGUAUUCCUCCUGAGCUAAUGAAAAGAAAGGCUGUCGUCUUAUGCCAAAAGCAAUACCAACCUUGUUCACGGGCUGAGAUCUAGAGUGUGUAAUUCACGAAGUAUGAAUCUGCUGGGUAAUGUGAUAUGAAAAGCGAAUGCACCAUUUCUUGGUGAUGAUUCAGGUCAGCGUUGGGACCCAGGAAUCUCCUGUUAAUCAGUACCCUGGUGAUUUUGAUCCAGGUCAUCAAGACCAUGGCUUCCAUCGUAGGCAGUCACACUCUUUCUCUCUUGGAUCAUUUGCUGUGGGGAAGCAAACUGUCAUAUGAGAGGACACUCAAACAGCCUCUGGAGUCUCAUUUGCUAAGGAACUGAGGACUCCAGCCUGAGAACUCAGGCAAGUAACUGAGGCCUGCCAACAACCAUGGAGAAAGCCUGGAAGUGGAUCCUCCCUCAGCCUUCAGUCGAGACAACAGCUGCAAUGACAGCCAAGCCAGCGCCACCCAGCUUAGCCACCCCCAGAGAACUAACUCUCAGAAACCAUGUAAGAUAAUACAUGUUUGUUGUUUUAAGCUGCUAAGUUUUGGGGUAAUUUAUUAUACAAUAGAUAAUUAAAACACAUAGCAUAUAAAUAAAAUCAAUAAAACCAGUAUGGGUCAGUAAUGAGUAAAUUAGAUAAUUAGACAAAUUUUGACAUUUCUGUUUCUAUGUUAAUUAUUUUUCUUCAGAAAAAUUCUCUACGGGUAAAAUAUGUUAAGAGUGGUUACCAACGGACAUUUUAAAAUUAAUAAUCAGUUUGGGAGGCCAAGGCGGUUGGAUUGCUUUAACUCAGGAGUUUGAGGCCAACCUGGGCAACAUGACAAAACCCUGUCUCUACAAAAAAUACAAAAAUUAGCCAGGCAUGGUCGUGUGUGCCUGUAGUCCCAGCUACUUGGGAAGCUGAGGUGGGAGGAUCAAUUGAGCCUGGGAGGCCAGGCUGCAGUGAGUCAAAAUCAUACCAUCUCAAUCCAGCCUGAGCAACAGAGUGAGACCCUAUCUAAAAUAUAUACAUGUAUAUUAACAAUUAUCUCUUGAAACUAAAGUAUAAUCACAGUACUAGUGUACUAUUUUCCAUUUUAUUAAAUGCACUAAACAGUAUUGCAAUGUGUUUGUGUUUAUUAAAAAAUAUUUUGGAAAUCUUUGGGAGAAAAGCUACUUCAAAUUAGUCUGAAAACUAUCAUUUCCUUCUAGCAAUGUGUAAUAAUGUAAUGACUGCUUAGAAUUUCCUGAGAGGGACUGUAACAUAUAUUUUAAGCAUAAUAUUGUAAACAAACAAGUUCUUUUGCAGUACUUGAAGAUCUUUUUUUGUGACUAUCCCCCUUAUAUAUUAUGAAGAUACAUUUUUUGUGACUAUCCUCUUUAUAUGUAUUGUGAAGAUAAGGUUUUUUAUAGUGAAUAUCCUCCUAAUGCUACUAGUAUUGUUUGCAAUCUGUCAUUAUUCUUAGUGUAAAAUUAAACUUCAACAGAGUACCUGUGUGAA